AUGUAAGACCGCAAGAGGGCAAGGCCUGGGUUUCCAUCCCAUUUUCAUUGGAUAAUUUCCACCAGUUCUAUAAUGAAGCUAUUCAAAAGAGGCUAAACAGGCAAAGUACUUAAACGACGAUAUUCCAAAUGGCAGUCACUUCAGAGGGAGGCACUGGUACAUGCCAUGUGCUUUUAGACACAUCUUCGUUCUUCAGUACUUCCCAGGCCUGUUGAAUCUCACUCUCUGAGCAGUUGGCUUCUGGUAGCUGCCAUCUCUUCUGUGCAGCCUGACCGGCACAUGGUGGGCACUGCUCUCAGAGCAUGGUGAGGGUCCUGCUGAGCUGGAGGACACCUUCCUCAAGGCAUUGUGCUCUAACACCAUGGACCGUGUCUCCUGGCCCACCGCAGCCCCCCGAUACAGUCCCAUGCUACAGGAAGUGCAUUCAAGCUUCACAUUUAAACUGGAUUAACCAGUUUUCUGAAGUGAUCGGUGUCAUCCUUUGGACAACAACAUACUUGGAUGAAAAUGAAUGGCCAGUUCAGCAUCUUCUGCUGUGAUGUAAGCAGACAGGAAGGCUCAUCC
Molecule: long non-coding RNA, 564 nt
Filed under: Apteryx rowi (Okarito brown kiwi)
Lineage: Eukaryota; Metazoa; Chordata; Aves; Apterygiformes; Apterygidae
Description: lncRNA (ENSARWG00000012440.1)
Source: RNAcentral